This is an RNA transcript of Mangifera indica (mango), 1594 nucleotides long. It is a transcript of the gene named RNA pseudouridine synthase 7, with no coding region annotated. The record is from RefSeq and is a predicted model, not a curated record. The transcript is spliced from 12 exons. NCBI's taxonomy places the organism in Eukaryota, Viridiplantae, Streptophyta, Magnoliopsida, Sapindales, Anacardiaceae.
GGUUGUGCUUGCUAGGUGAGUUUUCAAGCGACUGUUCAAAAAACAAAACGCCAAAACUAGAAAAUGAAGAGAAAGAGAGGAGCCGAAGAGCACAGUAUGGAGAUCGUUUGGCAAACGCCAGCGAAUCCUCCAGAGAAACGCGAUUACAUAUUUCGAGAUGGGAGGCGCCAUGUCAGACCAUACUACUUCGAGUUCAUCUCUCAUGUUAAAAAUCGCUGGGCUGGAAAAACAAUCGUCGAUUUGUUCGCUGAAGAGUUCAAAGGCCGACCAUAUGAUUACUAUGUUAGUGCCGUCAAAUGUGGACGGAUACAAGUUGAUGGAGAGAUGGUGCCAGUUUCUUACAUAGUUAAAUCAUCACAGAAAAUUAGCCAUUUCUUACACAGGCAUGAACCGCCAGCAAUGGCUUGGGAAGUUUCCGUUCUUCAGAAAGAACUGGAUGUACUGACGGUUUGCAAGCCACCAUCUGUACCAGUGCAUCCGUGUGGUCAAUAUCGUAAGAACACAGUUGUUGGCAUUCUUCAGGCAGAGUAUGGCUUGGCCCCUUUAUUUCCAGUUCAUCGAUUAGAUCGUCUUGUCUCAGGGCUUCUUAUCUUGGCUAGAAAUGCUUCUAAAGCUGACUUGUUUAGGCAACAGAUUGAAGCUGGUAAAGUGCAGAAAGAGUAUGUUGCAAAGGUUAUAGGGGUAUUUCCAGAGGGUGAGCAAGUUGUUGAUGUAAACAUAAAUUAUGAUGCUAGGGCAGGAAGGAGCACUGCAGAGGUGGGUGACUCUUUUGGUGAUACGCCUUUGAAGGGAAAGGCUGCUUGUACAAAGUUUACCAGGAUUAGUACCAAUGGAACUCAUAGUAUUGUGUUGUGCAAACCAAUCACUGGCCGGACUCAUCAAGUUGGGAUAAAGGCUUAUUUUUCCUAUUACAAAUUCUCCUUCUGGUGCAGAUACGUGUGCAUUUACAAUAUACUGGCCAUCCAAUUGCCAAUGACUUGCUUUACCUCUCUGAACCAGUUUCUGAACGUGCCACACAAGGAAUGAGUGCUGACAGAUCUUCUUAUUCAGGGCAUUCUUUAACAUCCAUUACUCAUGAAAAUUGCCUUGAUAGAGAUGAUAACUCUAGUGAAGAAUUCAGCAUUGAUCCUAUGUGUACAAAUUGUCCAAACUUGGCUCCAAAAGGAUAUGAUGUACAUGAAGGUGGUUUAUGGCUUCACUGUGUUCGGUACUCUGGACCUGGGUGGGUUUAUGAAUGCCCAUAUCCCGAUUGGGCAUCAAUUGUUUAAGCAUUUUUUCUUUCGUUAUUAAAACAAUUAAUGCCUUCUGGGGAAAAAGGUGAGUAGGAGCAGUCUCAUAAUUUUGUGAAAUUGUAGGAUAUUUCUCUUUAGUUUGAAAUUAUCUGGGGCCAAGCCGCCAAGGAUUGAACUUGAUCAAAAUUUCCUGGUCUUUGCUGGACAUAUCCAUUAGAUUUGUGACUAAGGGUUGUUUUUGAAUUGUUUUAUUAGUAUUACUCAUUGUAUUUUCUGUGUUUCUGAUGACUGAUGUUAUUGAAUCUUUUUGCAAGCUCCUUUUAACCAUUUAUUAAAUUUAAACAUUAUAUGAUUUAACUCCA